RNAcentral lists this ribosomal RNA (465 nucleotides) under Vreelandella stevensii. Its description in RNAcentral is "partial 16S ribosomal RNA". It matches the Rfam family "Bacterial small subunit ribosomal RNA", at positions 338 to 795 of the family's 1533-position model. Lineage: Bacteria; Pseudomonadati; Pseudomonadota; Gammaproteobacteria; Oceanospirillales; Halomonadaceae. The record is from RNAcentral.
CCUACGGGGGGCAGCAGUGGGGAAUAUUGGACAAUGGGGGCAACCCUGGUCCAGCCAUGCCGCGUGUGUGAAGAAGGCCCUCGGGUUGUAAAGCACUUUCAGUGAGGAAGAACGCCUGGUGGUUAAUACCCAUCAGGAAAGACAUCACUCACAGAAGAAGCACCGGCUAACUCCGUGCCAGCAGCCGCGGUAAUACGGAGGGUGCGAGCGUUAAUCGGAAUUACUGGGCGUAAAGCGCGCGUAGGUGGCUUGAUAAGCCGGUUGUGAAAGCCCCGGGCUCAACCUGGGAACGGCAUCCGGAACUGUCAAGCUAGAGUGCAGGAGAGGAAGGUAGAAUUCCCGGUGUAGCGGUGAAAUGCGUAGAGAUCGGGAGGAAUACCAGUGGCGAAGGCGGCCUUCUGGACUGACACUGACACUGAGGUGCGAAAGCGUGGGUAGCAAACAGGAUUAGAUACCCGUGUAGUC